CCUGCUCAAUGAAAUAUAAAUAGCCGCAGAUAUUCUGUGCUAAGGUAGCAUAAUCAUUUGUUUUUUAAUUAAAAACUAGAAUGAAAGGUCUAACAUUUUAAUUAUUUUAUUAUUUAUAUAUUUUUAACUUAUAUUAAAUAUAAAAAUAUAUUUAUAUAAAAAAUAGACGACAAGACCCUAUUGAAUUUUACUAAUGUUAAGCUGGGGCAGCUUAUUAAUAAAUAUUUUAAUUUUAAUUUUUAAAAAUUAUCCAGUAUAACUGACUUCAUAAUCAAAUUACCAUAGGGAUAACAGCGUAAUAUUAUUUUAAAGUUCUUAUUAAAAAUAAUGUUUGCGACCUCGAUGUUGAAUUAUUAUUCUUUAUAAAUGCAAUAAUUAUAAAAGUAGGUCUGUUCGACCUUUAAUAUAUUACA
This 413-nucleotide ribosomal RNA is filed under the name Theridion differens. RNAcentral describes it as "partial 16S ribosomal RNA". The record is from RNAcentral. Lineage: Eukaryota; Metazoa; Arthropoda; Arachnida; Araneae; Theridiidae.